CACGUAGUUAGCCGGGACUUAUUCCUGAAGUACCGUCAUUAUCUUCCUUCAGAGAAGAACUUUACGACCCGAAGGCCUUCAUCGUUCACGCGGCGUUGCUGCGUCAGGGUUGCCCCCAUUGCGCAAUAUUCCU
Molecule: ribosomal RNA, 133 nt
Filed under: uncultured bacterium
Lineage: Bacteria
Description: partial 16S ribosomal RNA
Source: RNAcentral